This is a long non-coding RNA of Haliotis rubra (blacklip abalone), 332 nucleotides long. RefSeq lists it as uncharacterized. The record is from RefSeq and is a predicted model, not a curated record. The transcript has 3 exons. NCBI's taxonomy places the organism in Eukaryota, Metazoa, Mollusca, Gastropoda, Lepetellida, Haliotidae.
AGUUGCAAUGCGUACAGUUUGCCCUCAAUUCCGGGCUCGUCGAAUCCGUGUGUGUCUCUGAGGUCGGAGAGCUCGAUGGUAUGACAUUUUCCCGGUCGCAUGGUCCGUCAUGCUCAGCUGAUCGAGAUGAAUGUACAGUUCGCGGUACGGAACUAGUUCGGGUAAUUUCAUACCGGUCAUGGUGGUUUUCGGUUGUAUUACGUUGAACGUAAACCCGAGUGUUUUAGUCAACGGCUGGCUGAGUCUCAAAGUGUUUUCUCUGUUGUUGAUCAGCACAACCGUGCCGUUUGAGACGUUCAUUUUGAGUUCGGCUCCCACGGGUUUGAAUAUUU